UACGGAGGGUGCAAGCAUUAAUCGGAUUUAUUGGGCGUAAAGGGCGCGUAGGCGGUAAUGAAAGUCAGAUGUGAAAUCCCGGGGCUCAACCCCGGAACAGCAUUUGAAACUCCAUUUCUAGAGGGUAGGCGGAGAAAACGGAAUUCCACAAGUAGCGGUGAAAUGCGUAGAGAUGUGGAAGAACACCGGUGGCGAAGGCGGUUUUCUAGCUUAUUCCUGACGCUGAGGCGCGAAAGCUAGGGGAGCAAACAGG
Molecule: ribosomal RNA, 253 nt
Filed under: uncultured bacterium
Lineage: Bacteria
Description: partial 16S ribosomal RNA
Rfam family: Bacterial small subunit ribosomal RNA
Source: RNAcentral